ACUUAACCAGCUUCCUUUGGAAACCAAGGAUUAUGCAGGGCGAUCGAACUCGGAUCUCAUGGACAUAAGGUUAGCUAAAAAUUUAACUGGAUGAGGUCUAGAAUUGCUUUUAUUCCAGUUCGCCCUUCAAGUAUAUGUAAAUAUAAGGUCAUUCCUUCGUCAAUCUAAUGAAGAAAGGAGAGCAGCUGGAAGACUGACAACACAAAAAAACUAAAGAGAUUCAAUCCAAAGAAGUAGGCAAUUUGUAGCUAUAGAUAGGAGCUACCACUAUCAGUUGGCCAGCUAUGACAUGUAUAAGGCGUCUGAGAAACGUAUGGCCGACCUGGUAUGUACAAGACCAACUUGUUUGGGAGUCCAAGCAUCACUGUUUCCAUUCCGGAACCCUGUUGGAAAGCCUUGGAAAGAUGAUGAACCAUUUGGACAUAUAUAAAAGGUGUUUUCUUUCUAUCCUUCUUUUCAUAUUUUUCUAUCAAGUCAUUUCCAAGGUGUUCUGGAUGAGAGGAGAGCCAAGAGCCAAAUGAAUGACCAAAAUGAAAAGAUAGGAAUGGUUGAUCUACCCAUGGAAGUUGAAGAUGAGGAUGGCCAGAAGUUGCAGGAUGAGGAUUGAAUCCAUUUUUCUGGUCGUCUCGUAGUUAGCUGGUGAUGAAACCUCAGCCCAUGCAGCUAUGUGGGCAAUCAUCUAUCUGCAUGUAGACCACCCAGAAAUGUUGGAAAAGGCUAAGGUGGAAUUAUAGCAAACUAAUCACCCUGAAGCAAAACAAGAAGAGAAAUGAACAAGGCUCUUAUGGUGGUAAGGAAUAGAUGCUCAUGUUAGUAACAGUAUGUAAGCAGGCCAUGAGGUGGG
Molecule: long non-coding RNA, 844 nt
Organism: Theobroma umbraticum
Lineage: Eukaryota; Viridiplantae; Streptophyta; Magnoliopsida; Malvales; Malvaceae
Source: RefSeq, a predicted model, not a curated record